UAAUACGGAGGAUCCAAGCGUUGUCCGGAUUUAUUGGGUUUAAAGGGUGCGUAGGCGGAUCUUUAAGUCAGUGGUGAAAGCCUGCAGCUUAACUGUAGAAUUGCCAUUGAAACUGAAGAUCUUGAAUAUGGUUAAAGUAGGCGGAAUGUAUCAUGUAGCGGUGAAAUGCUUAGAUAUGAUACAGAACACCGAUAGCGAAGGCAGCUUGCUGAGCCAUUAUUGACGCUGAGGCACGAAAGCGUGGGGAGCGAACAGGAUUAGAUACCCUGGUAGUCCACGCCCUAAACGUUGAUUACUCGUUGUUGGCGAUAUAUUGUCAGCGACCAAGCUAAAGCGUUAAGUAAUCCACCUGGGAAGUACGACCGCAAGGUUGAAACUUAAAGGAAUUGACGG
RNAcentral lists this ribosomal RNA (393 nucleotides) under uncultured bacterium. RNAcentral describes it as "bacterial SSU rRNA". It matches the Rfam family "Bacterial small subunit ribosomal RNA", at positions 521 to 916 of the family's 1533-position model. The record is from RNAcentral.